UGGGUUGGAACCCUCCAGAAGUCCGCAGAGAUGUGGAUGUGCCCGCAAGGGAAUUGGAUGUCCAGGUGCUGCAUGGCUGUCGUCAGCUCGUGUCGUGAGAUGUUGGGUUAAGUCCCGCAACGAGCGCAACCCUUGUCGUUAGUUGCCAGCGGUUCGGCCGGGCACUCUAACGAGACUGCCGGUGUUAAACCGGAGGAAGGUGGGGAUGACGUGGAACGGUUGGUU
RNAcentral lists this unclassified non-coding RNA (225 nucleotides) under uncultured Kofleriaceae bacterium. Its description in RNAcentral is "contains 16S-23S intergenic spacer region". It matches the Rfam family "Bacterial small subunit ribosomal RNA", at positions 978 to 1197 of the family's 1533-position model. The record is from RNAcentral. Lineage: Bacteria; Pseudomonadati; Myxococcota; Haliangiales; Kofleriaceae.